CCAUAUCAUCUAACAACUGAAUUAGCAGGAUGAAGAACCUUUCCAUGUAGCUAUUUAUAGGUCUCAGACCUGUCUUCUUUCUCUUUCUUCCACCUGGAGGGCUCAGCCUAGAGUUUGAAGCUUGGAGAAGACUCUCACCAGGCCGCUGACUCCUUUGCUGUAUUUUCACAGUUGCAGAUAUACAAUCACUAUUAUCUGUCUCCCCGGCAAACUCUAAGCUCCACAAGGCAGGGAACUUGCUCUGCACUGUCAGGACCUUCGCCAGUGUGUGCAUUUGAUAAAAGGAACGAGGGCUACAACUUGCAAUGCAUUACGACGAUGACCACAAAUGACAGCCCCUCCUUGAGCACUCUUGGACGGUCACCUGGGCAUGGCUUGCCCAUCUGGCUCAUUUUGGCUACCACACAAGCAACAACUACAUGGGACCCGGAUACCAAGCAUGUUGGAUGUAGGACCAAACUCUAAGCUAUCACAACCUUACCUUGAGCACCUCUGCAAAAGCUCUAUUUCCUACUAAGGCCUCA
Molecule: non-coding RNA, 524 nt
Organism: Peromyscus maniculatus bairdii (prairie deer mouse)
Lineage: Eukaryota; Metazoa; Chordata; Mammalia; Rodentia; Cricetidae
Source: RefSeq, a predicted model, not a curated record